This 429-nucleotide ribosomal RNA is filed under the name Chloroflexota bacterium. RNAcentral's name for it is "Chloroflexi bacterium partial 16S ribosomal RNA". It matches the Rfam family "Bacterial small subunit ribosomal RNA", at positions 355 to 776 of the family's 1533-position model. The record is from RNAcentral. Lineage: Bacteria; Bacillati; Chloroflexota.
UGGGGAAUAUUGCACAAUGGGCGCAAGCCUGAUGCAGCCAUGCCGCGUGUAUGAAGAAGGCCUUCGGGUUGUAAAGUACUUUCAGCGGGGAGGAAGGGAGUAAAGUUAAUACCUUUGCUCAUUGACGUUACCCGCAGAAGAAGCACCGGCUAACUCCGUGCCAGCAGCCGCGGUAAUACGGAGGGUGCAAGCGUUAAUCGGAAUUACUGGGCGUAAAGCGCACGCCGGCGGUUUGUUAAGUCAGAUGUGAAAUCCUCGGGCUCAACUUGGGAACUGCAUCUGAUACUGGCAAGCUUGAGUCUCGUAGAGGGGGGUAGAAUUCCAGGUGUAGCGGUGAAAUGCGUAGAGAUCUGGAGGAAUACCGGUGGCGAAGGCGGCCCCCUGGACGAAGACUGACGCUCAGGUGCGAAAGCGUGGGGAGCAAACAGG